Molecule: ribosomal RNA, 402 nt
Filed under: uncultured bacterium
Lineage: Bacteria
Description: bacterial SSU rRNA
Rfam family: Bacterial small subunit ribosomal RNA
Source: RNAcentral
UAGGGAAUCUUGGACAAUGGGCGAAAGCCUGAUCCAGCCAUGCCGCGUGAGUGAAGAAGGCCUUAGGGUUGUAAAGCUCUUUCGCCAGGGAAGAUAAUGACGGUACCUGGAUAAGAAGCCCCGGCUAACUUCGUGCCAGCAGCCGCGGUAAUACGAAGGGGGCUAGCGUUGUUCGGAAUUACUGGGCGUAAAGCGCACGUAGGCGGCUUUCCAAGUUGGAGGUGAAAUCCCCGGGCUUAACCCGGGAACUGCCUCCAAAACUGAAAGGCUAGAGUCCGAGAGAGGUGAGUGGAAUUUCCAGUGUAGAGGUGAAAUUCGUAGAUAUUGGAAAGAACACCAGUGGCGAAGGCGGCUCACUGGCUCGGUACUGACGCUGAGGUGCGACAGCGUGGGGAGCAAACA